This is a regulatory RNA element of Halobacillus karajensis, 109 nucleotides long. It matches the Rfam family "PyrR binding site". Rfam says of the family: This family represents the PyrR binding site and terminator structure. This RNA structure is found upstream of a variety of genes involved in pyrimidine biosynthesis and transport. The alignment also includes a portion of the antiterminator structure. The record is from Rfam. NCBI's taxonomy places the organism in Bacteria, Bacillati, Bacillota, Bacilli, Caryophanales, Bacillaceae.
ACUACGUUUUAAAUGAGUCCAGAGAGGCUCGAAAAGGUGUACUAGGGAUUGGCUCGUUUGUCAUGCAGCGAGUCAAGCACCCCCAGACACCUGGGGGUGCUUUUUUUCU